Molecule: ribosomal RNA, 460 nt
Filed under: uncultured bacterium
Lineage: Bacteria
Description: partial 16S ribosomal RNA
Rfam family: Bacterial small subunit ribosomal RNA
Source: RNAcentral
CCUACGGGAGACAGCAGUGAGGAAUAUUGGUCAAUGGGCGCGAGCCUGAACCAGCCAAGUAGCGUGAAGGAUGACUGCCCUACGGGUUGUAAACUUCUUUUAUAAAGGAAUAAAGUGAGGCACGUGUGCCUUUUUGUAUGUACCUUAUGAAUAAGGAUCGGCUAACUCCGUGCCACCAGCCGCGGUAAUACGGAGGAUCCGAGCGUUAUCCGGAUUUAUUGGGUUUAAAGGGUGCGUAGGCGGCCUUUUAAGUCAGCGGUGAAAGUCUGUGGCUCAACCAUAGAAUUGCCGUUGAAACUGGGGGGCUUGAGUAUGUUUGAGGCAGGCGGAAUGCGUGGUGUAGCGGUGAAAUGCUUAGAUAUCACGCAGAACCCCGAUUGCGAAGGCAGCCUGCCAAGCCAUGACUGACGCUGAUGCACGAAAGCGUGGGGAUCAAACAGGAUUAGAUACCCGUGUAGUC